RNAcentral lists this ribosomal RNA (522 nucleotides) under Xanthias canaliculatus. RNAcentral's name for it is "partial 16S ribosomal RNA". It matches the Rfam family "Bacterial large subunit ribosomal RNA", at positions 1831 to 2597 of the family's 2925-position model. Lineage: Eukaryota; Metazoa; Arthropoda; Malacostraca; Decapoda; Xanthidae. The record is from RNAcentral.
GUCUAUUUGGAGAUAUAAAUAGUCUGGCCUGCUCACUGAUAAGAUUAUUUAAGAGCCGCGGUAUAUUGACCGUGCAAAGGUAGCAUAAUCAUUAGAGGUUUAAUUGGAAUCUGGAAUGAAGGGUUGGACAAAGGAAAAACUGUCUUUGAAAUAUAAUUUGAAUUUUACUUUUAGGUGAAAAGGCCUAAAUACUUCAAAGGGACGAUAAGACCCUAUAAAGCUUUAUAAAUAACUCAAAUUUAAUCAAUUUAGGGUAAUUAAAGAUUAGGUUUGAUUAUUUUAUUUUAUUGGGGUGAUGCGAGUAUAAUUGUUGUUAACUGCUUGAAUGUUUAUUCUAUUAUUUAAGAGUUAUUAAUAUAUGAUCCUUUUUAAAGAUUAAAAGACUAAGUUACUUUAGGGAUAACAGCGUUAUUUCUUUUGAGAGUUCAUAUCGAAAAAGAAGAUUGCGACCUCGAUGUUGAAUUAAAAUAUCUAUAUAAUGCAGUCGUUAUAUAAGAGGGUCUGUUCGACCUUUAAACUUUU